GACGAACGCUGGCGGCGUGCUUAAUACAUGCAAGUCGAACGGAAAGGCCCUGCUUUUGCGGGGUGCUCGAGUGGCGCACGGGUGAGUAACACGUGAGUAACCUCCACUUGACUUUGGGGUAACUCCAGGAAACUGGGGCUAAUACCGGAUAGGAGCUCCUGCUGCAUGGCGGGGGUUGGAAAGAUUCGGCGGUUGGGGAUGGACUCGCGGCUUAUGCGCUGGUUGGUGGGGUAGUGGCUUACCAAGGCUGUGACGGAUAGCCGGCCUGGGAGGGUGACCAGCGACAUUGGGACUGAGGUACGGAGCAGACGGCUAUGGGCGGCAGCAGUGGAGAACAUUGCGCAAUGGCGCGAAGCGAGAGGCAGCGACGCCGCGUGCGGGAUGACCGCUUUCGGGUUGUAAACAGAUUUCGCCUGUGACGAAGCGUGAGUGACGGUAACGGGUAAAGAAGCACCGGCUAACUACGUG
This 468-nucleotide ribosomal RNA is filed under the name uncultured bacterium. RNAcentral describes it as "partial 16S ribosomal RNA". It matches the Rfam family "Bacterial small subunit ribosomal RNA", at positions 28 to 507 of the family's 1533-position model. The record is from RNAcentral.